RNAcentral lists this ribosomal RNA (1576 nucleotides) under metagenome. RNAcentral's name for it is "bacterial LSU rRNA". It matches the Rfam family "Bacterial large subunit ribosomal RNA", at positions 1315 to 2925 of the family's 2925-position model. The record is from RNAcentral.
AGUAAGGUGAGAAUCCUUACGGCCGAAUAUCCGAGGUUUCCAGAGUAAAGCUGAUCUGCUCUGGGUAAGUCGGGACCUAAGGCGAGGUCGAAAGACGUAGCUGAUGGACAACAGGUUGAAAUUCCUGUACUACGGUAUGAAAGAAAUGUGGGGACGCAUGUGGAGAGCAUGAGCCGGGAAAGGAAAGACCGGUGCAAGCGGGACAGUAGCCAUGCAGGCAAAUCCGUGUGGCAAUACGAAGACGUGACGCGGACCGAAAUAAAGUAGGGAAGCAUGUGAGCCAUGUGCCAAGAAGAGCCGCUAUAGAUCAUACCGUACCCGUACCGUAAACCGACACAGGUAGAUGAGGAGAGAAUCCUAAGGCCGACGGGAGAAGCAUUGUUAAGGAACUCGGCAAAAUGACCCCGUAACUUCGGGAGAAGGGGUGCCCACGCGAGUGGGCCGCAGAGAAUAGGCUCAAGCAACUGUUUAGCAAAAACACAGGUCUAUGCGAAACCGAAAGGUGAGGUAUAUGGGCUGACGCCUGCCCGGUGCUGGAAGGUUAAGAGGAGGAGUCAGGCAACGAAGCUCCGAAUUUAAGCCCCAGUAACGGCGGCCGUAACAAUAACGGUCCUAAGGUAGCGAAAUUCCUUGUCGGGUAAGUUCCGACCCGCACGAAAGGCGUAAUGAUUUGAGCACUGUCUCGACAAUGCACCCGGUGAAAUUGAAGUACCAGUGAAGAUGCUGGUUACCUGCGCCAGGACGGAAAGACCCCAUGGAGCUUUACUCCAGUUUGAUACUGGGAUUCGAUACUGAAUGUACAGGAUAGGUGGGAGGCUGAGAAGCGUGGACGCCAGUCUGCGGUGAGCCGCUGUUGGGAUACCACCCUUUGAGUAUUGGAUUUCUAACCUGCGCCCGUGACCCGGGCGGGGGACAAUGUCUGACGGGGAGUUUGACUGGGGCGGUCGCCUCCGAAAGGGUAUCGGAGGCGCUCAAAGGUUCCCUCAGAAUGGUUGGAAACCAUUCGCAGAGUGCAAAGGCAGAAGGGAGCUUGACUGUGACACCGACGGGUGGAGCAGGUACGAAAGUAGGACUUAGUGAUCCGGUGGUAUGAAAGUGGGAUUGCCAUCGCUCAACGGAUAAAAGCUACCCUGGGAUAACAGGCUUAUCACUCCCAAGAGUUCACAUCGACGGAGUGGUUUGGCACCUCGAUGUCGGCUCAUCGCAUCCUGGGGCUGUAGCAGGUCCCAAGGGUUGGGCUGUUCGCCCAUUAAAGCGGUACGCGAGCUGGGUUCAGAACGUCGUGAGACAGUUCGGUCCCUAUCCGGCGCAGGCGUAGGAUAUUUGAGAGGAGCUGUCCUUAGUACGAGAGGACCGGGAUGGACAGACCGCUGGUGUAUCUGUUGGUGACCAACACCAUGGCAGAGUAGCCAAGUCUGGCAGGGAUAAACGCUGAAGGCAUCUAAGCGUGAAGCCCCCCUCAAGAUGAGAUAUCCCAAUAAGUAAGACCCCUUAGAGAGUAUGAGGUAGAUAGGCUUAAGGUGUAAGCAUAGUAAUAUGUUCAGCUGAUAAGUACUAAUAGGUCGAGGGCUUAUCU